UGAUUAAUAUAAGAGGUCCCGCCUGCCCUGUGACUUAGUUUAACGGCCGCGGUAUCAUAACCGUGCGAAGGUAGCAUAAUAAAUUGUUCUCUAAAUAGGGACUAGUAUGAAAGGCACCACGAGGGCUUAACUGUCUCCCUUUUCCAAUUAAUGAAACUGAUCUUCUCGUGAAGAAGCGAGAAUAUGAAUAUAAGACGAGAAGACCCCAUGGAGCUUUAAACUUAUCACCAUUUACUUUUGUUUAUAUCAUUACAUGUAGUAAAAAUGUUACCUGAUAGUUUUCGGCUGGGGUGACCCUGGAGAAAAAUAAAUCCUCCAGGAUGAACGGAUAUAAAAUCCUUAUCAAAGAGCUACAGCUCUAAGAAUCAAUAUAUUGACAUUAUUUGAUCCAAUUAAUUGAUCAACGAACCAAGUUACCCUGGGGAUAACAGCGCAAUCCAUUUCAAGAGCCCUUAUCGACAAAUGGGUUUACGACCUCGAUGUUGGAUUGGGGUAUCCCAGUGGCGCAGUCGCUACUAAAGGUUCGUUUGUUCAACGAUUAAUAACCCC
This 549-nucleotide ribosomal RNA is filed under the name Heterixalus punctatus. Its description in RNAcentral is "partial 16S ribosomal RNA". It matches the Rfam family "Bacterial large subunit ribosomal RNA", at positions 1837 to 2597 of the family's 2925-position model. Lineage: Eukaryota; Metazoa; Chordata; Amphibia; Anura; Hyperoliidae. The record is from RNAcentral.